GUGCCAGCCGCCGCGGUAAUACGAAGGGUGCAAGCGUUACUCGGAAUUACUGGGCGUAAAGCGUGCGUAGGUGGUUGUUUAAGUCUGCUGUGAAAGCCCUGGGCUCAACCUGGGAAUUGCAGUGGAUACUGGGCGACUAGAGUGUGGUAGAGGAUAGUGGAAUUUCCGGUGUAGCAGUGAAAUGCGUAGAGAUCGGAAGGAACAUCUGUGGCGAAGGCGACUAUCUGGGCCAACACUGACACUGAGGCACGAAAGCGUGGGGAGCAAACAGGAUUAGAUACCCCCGUAGUCC
Molecule: ribosomal RNA, 292 nt
Filed under: uncultured bacterium
Lineage: Bacteria
Description: partial 16S ribosomal RNA
Rfam family: Bacterial small subunit ribosomal RNA
Source: RNAcentral